CUGGUGACAUGAUGAACAUAGCCAAAUCACCAUCUUUCAGCUGAAUGUAUGAUGAUUUGUUUUACCUGAACAAUCCA
Small nucleolar RNA from Varanus komodoensis (Komodo dragon), 77 nucleotides. Lineage: Eukaryota; Metazoa; Chordata; Lepidosauria; Squamata; Varanidae. The record is from Ensembl.